RNAcentral lists this ribosomal RNA (253 nucleotides) under uncultured bacterium. RNAcentral describes it as "partial 16S ribosomal RNA". It matches the Rfam family "Bacterial small subunit ribosomal RNA", at positions 524 to 776 of the family's 1533-position model. The record is from RNAcentral.
UACGAGAGGCCCAAACGUUAUUCGGAAUUACUGGGCUUAAAGAGUUCGUAGGCGGCAUGAAAAGCAGGGUGUGAAAGCCCUCGGCUCAACCGAGGAAUUGCGCUCUGAACUGUCGUGCUUGAGGAACCUAGAGGUGAGCAGAACAGAUGGUGGAGCGGUGAAAUGCGUUGAUAUCAUCUGGAAUACCGGAGGCGAAGGCGGCUCACUGGGGGUUUUCUGACGCUGAGGAACGAAAGCCAGGGUAGCGAACGGG